GGGGAAUUUUCCGCAAUGGGCGAAAGCCUGACGGAGCAAUACCGCGUGAGGGAAGACUGCCUAUGGGUUGUAAACCUCUUUUUUCAGGGUAGGAAUCAAUGACGUGUACCUGAAGAAUAAGCAUCGGCUAACUCCGUGCCAGCAGCCGCGGUAAGACGGAGGAUGCAAGUGUUAUCCGGAAUCACUGGGCGUAAAGCGUCUGUAGGUGGUUUAAUAAGUCAACUGUUAAAUCUUGAGGCUCAACUUCAAAAUCGCAGUCGAAACUAUUAGACUAGAGUAUAGUAGAGGUAAAGGGAAUUUCCAGUGGAGCGGUGAAAUGCGUAGAUAUUGGAAAGAACACCGAUGGCGAAAGCACUUUACUGGGCUAUUACUAACACCCAGAGACGAAAGCUAGGGUAGCAAAUGGGAUUAGAUACCCCAGUAGUC
This 426-nucleotide ribosomal RNA is filed under the name uncultured cyanobacterium. RNAcentral describes it as "bacterial SSU rRNA". It matches the Rfam family "Bacterial small subunit ribosomal RNA", at positions 356 to 795 of the family's 1533-position model. The record is from RNAcentral. Lineage: Bacteria; Bacillati; Cyanobacteriota.